ACGGAAGGCAGCAGCUAAGAAUAUUCCGCAAUGGACGAAAGUCUGACGGAGCGACGCCGCGUGGAUGAUGAAGGCCGGAAGGUUGUAAAAUCCUUUUAUGACUGAGGAAUAAGUAUGGUGAGAGAAACGCCAUAUGGUGACCGUAGGUCAUGAAUAAGCAACGGCUAAUUACGUGCCAGCAGCCGCGGUAACACGUAAGUUGCGAGCGUUGUUCGGAAUUAUUGGGCGUAAAGGGCAUGUAGGCGGUUUUGCAGGCUUGGUGUGAAAUCCCGGAGCUUAACUCCGGAAUUGCGUUGAGAACUGCAUAACUAGAGUCACUGAGGGGCAAUCAGAAUUCCAGGUGUAGGGGUGAAAUCUGUAGAUAUCUGGAAGAAUACCAAUGGCGAAGGCAGGUUACCAGCAGAUGACUGACGCUGAGGUGCGAAGGUGCGGGGAGCAAACAGGAUUAGAUACCCUGGUA
Molecule: ribosomal RNA, 460 nt
Filed under: uncultured Treponema sp.
Lineage: Bacteria; Pseudomonadati; Spirochaetota; Spirochaetia; Treponematales; Treponemataceae
Description: partial 16S ribosomal RNA
Rfam family: Bacterial small subunit ribosomal RNA
Source: RNAcentral